GGCAGGCGGAGCUUGAGGAAACCGCAGAUAAGUUUUUUUCUCUUUGAAAGAUAGAGAUUAAUACAACUACUUAAAAAAUAUAGUCAAUAGGUUACUAAGAUAUUGCUUAGCGUUAAGUUUUUAACGUAAUUUUAAUAGCUUAAGAUUUUAAGAGAAAAUAUGAAGACUUAGAAGAGUAGCAUGAGGAAGGAAAAGAUAAAAGGUUUCUAAAACAUGACGGAGGUUGAGAUGAAGCUUCUUCAUGGAGUAAAAAAUGUAUUUAAAAGAAAAUUGAGAGAAAGGACUACAGAGCCCCGAAUUAAUACCAAUAGAAGGGCAAUGCUUUUAGAUUAAAAUGAAGGUGACUUAAACAGCUUAAAGUUUAGUUUAAAAGUUGUAGGUGAUUAAAAUAAUUUGAAGGCGAUCUUUUAAAAAGAGAUUAAACCGAAGGUGAUUAAAAGACCUUGAAAUCCAUGACGCAGGGAGAAUUGCGUCAUUUAAAGCCUAGUUAACGCAUUUACUAAACGCAGACGAAAAUGGAAAGAUUAAUUGGGAGUGGUAGGAUGAAACAAUUUGGAGAAGAUAGAAGUUUGAAGUGGAAAACUGGAAGACAGAAGUACGGGAAGGCGAAGAAAAGAAUAGAGAAGAUAGGGAAAUUAGAAGAUAAAAACAUACUUUUAGAAGAAAAAAGAUAAAUUUAAACCUGAAAAGUAGGAAGCAGAAGAAAAAAGACAAGCUAGGAAACAAAAAGCUAAGGGCAAAAUGUACAAACUUAGAAGAAAAUUGGAAGAUAGAAACAAGAUAGAAAAUGAAAAUAUUGUCAAGAGUUUCAGAUAGAAAAUGAAAAACAAGCUAAGACAAGUAUUGGAGAAGUAUAGAAGAUAGAAAAAUAUAAAGCCAAAAAUUGGAUAAAAUAGCACUGAAAAAAUGAGGAAAUUAUUGGUAACCAAUUUAUUUUAAAAGCCCAUCAAUUUAAUUUCUGGUGGUGCAGAAGUUAGAAGGUAAAGCUUGAGAAGAUGAGGGUGUUUACGUAGACCAGAACCAAUUUAGAAGAAUACUUGAAGCUAGAAGGGGAAGUUGGUUAAAAAUCACAUCAAAAAGCUACUAAAAGGACUGGUGUAAUUUAAAAAAAACUAAGGCAGAAGGCUUUUGGAAGAGUUAGAAGAAUUUGGAAGGCCUUAAAUAUAGUAGCUUAGUUUGAAAAAUGUGAAGGACUUUCGUAACGGAAGUAAUUCAAGAUCAAGAGUAAUUACCAACUUAAUGUUUUUGCAUUGGACUUUGAGUUAAGAUUAUUUUUUAAAUCCUGAGGACUAGCAUUAAUUGACAGCUGACCCAGGUGCUACACAGAAGUGGAUUCAGUGAAUCUAGGAAGACAGCAGCAGACAGGAUUCCAGGAACCAGUGUUUGAUGAAGCUAGGACUGAGGAGCAAGCGAGCAAGCAGCAGUUCGUGGUGAAGAUAGGAAAAGAGUCCAGGAGCCAGUGCGAUUUGGUGAAGGAAGCUAGGAAGAAGGAAGGAGCGCUAACGAUUUGGUGGUGAAGCUAGGAAAAAGGAUUCCAGGAAGGAGCGAGUGCAAUUUGGUGAUGAAGGUAGCAGGCGGCUUGGCUUGGCAACCACACGGAGGAGGCGAGCAGGCGUUGUGCGUAGAGGAUCCUAGACCAGCAUGCCAGUGUGCCAAGGCCACAGGGAAAGCGAGUGGUUGGUAAAAAUCCGUGAGGUCGGCAAUAUGUUGUUUUUCUGGAACUUACUUAUGGUAACCUUUUAUUUAUUUUCUAAUAUAAUGGGGGAGUUUCGUACUGAGGUGUAAAGGGAUUUAUAUGGGGACGUAGGCCGAUUUCCGGGUGUUGUAGGUUUCUCUUUUUCAGGCUUAUACUCAUGAAUCUUGUCUGAAGCUUUUGAGGGCAGACUGCCAAGUCCUGGAGAAAUAGUAGAUGGCAAGUUUGUGGGUUUUUUUUUUUUACACGAAUUUGAGGAAAACCAAAUGAAUUUGAUAGCCAAAUUGAGACAAUUUCAGCAAAUCUGUAAGCAGUUUGUAUGUUUAGUUGGGGUAAUGAAGUAUUUCAGUUUUGUGAAUAGAUGACCUGUUUUUACUUCCUCACCCUGAAUUCGUUUUGUAAAUGUAGAGUUUGGAUGUGUAACUGAGGCGGGGGGGAGUUUUCAGUAUUUUUUUUUGUGGGGGUGGGGGCAAAAUAUGUUUUCAGUUCUUUUUCCCUUAGGUCUGUCUAGAAUCCUAAAGGCAAAUGACUCAAGGUGUAACAGAAAACAAGAAAAUCCAAUAUCAGGAUAAUCAGACCACCACAGGUUUACAGUUUAUAGAAACUAGAGCAGUUCUCACGUUGAGGUCUGUGGAAGAGAUGUCCAUUGGAGAAAUGGCUGGUAGUUACUCUUUUUUCCCCCCACCCCCUUAAUCAGACUUUAAAAGUGCUUAACCCCUUAAACUUGUUAUUUUUUACUUGAAGCAUUUUGGGAUGGUCUUAACAGGGAAGAGAGAGGGUGGGGGAGAAAAUGUUUUUUUCUAAGAUUUUCCACAGAUGCUAUAGUACUAUUGACAAACUGGGUUAGAGAAGGAGUGUACCGCUGUGCUGUUGGCACGAACACCUUCAGGGACUGGAGCUGCUUUUAUCCUUGGAAGAGUAUUCCCAGUUGAAGCUGAAAAGUACAGCACAGUGCAGCUUUGGUUCAUAUUCAGUCAUCUCAGGAGAACUUCAGAAGAGCUUGAGUAGGCCAAAUGUUGAAGUUAAGUUUUCCAAUAAUGUGACUUCUUAAAAGUUUUAUUAAAGGGGAGGGGCAAAUAUUGGCAAUUAGUUGGCAGUGGCCUGUUACGGUUGGGAUUGGUGGGGUGGGUUUAGGUAAUUGUUUAGUUUAUGAUUGCAGAUAAACUCAUGCCAGAGAACUUAAAGUCUUAGAAUGGAAAAAGUAAAGAAAUAUCAACUUCCAAGUUGGCAAGUAACUCCCAAUGAUUUAGUUUUUUUCCCCCCAGUUUGAAUUGGGAAGCUGGGGGAAGUUAAAUAUGAGCCACUGGGUGUACCAGUGCAUUAAUUUGGGCAAGGAAAGUGUCAUAAUUUGAUACUGUAUCUGUUUUCCUUCAAAGUAUAGAGCUUUUGGGGAAGGAAAGUAUUGAACUGGGGGUUGGUCUGGCCUACUGGGCUGACAUUAACUACAAUUAUGGGAAAUGCAAAAGUUGUUUGGAUAUGGUAGUGUGUGGUUCUCUUUUGGAAUUUUUUUCAGGUGAUUUAAUAAUAAUUUAAAACUACUAUAGAAACUGCAGAGCAAAGGAAGUGGCUUAAUGAUCCUGAAGGGAUUUCUUCUGAUGGUAGCUUUUGUAUUAUCAAACUUUUUUCAGAUAACAUCUUCUGAGUCAUAACCAGCCUGGCAGUAUGAUGGCCUAGAUGCAGAGAAAACAGCUCCUUGACAGGUAUCUCUUCGUUAUCAGAAGAGUUGCUUCAUUUCAUCUGGGAGCAGAAAACAGCAGGCAGCUGUUAACAGAUAAGUUUAACUUGCAUCUGCAGUAUUGCAUGUUAGGGAUAAGUGCUUAUUUUUAAGAGCUGUGGAGUUCUUAAAUAUCAACCAUGGCACUUUCUCCUGACCCCUUCCCUAGGGGAUUUCAGGAUUGAGAAAUUUUUCCAUCGAGCCUUUUUAAAAUUGUAGGACUUGUUCCUGUGGGCUUCAGUGAUGGGAUAGUACACUUCACUCAGAGGCAUUUGCAUCUUUAAAUAAUUUCUUAAAAGCCUCUAAAGUGAUCAGUGCCUUGAUGCCAACUAAGGAAAUUUGUUUAGCAUUGAAUCUCUGAAGGCUCUAUGAAAGGAAUAGCAUGAUGUGCUGUUAGAAUCAGAUGUUACUGCUAAAAUUUACAUGUUGUGAUGUAAAUUGUGUAGAAAACCAUUAAAUCAUUCAAAAUAAUAAACUAUUUUUAUUAGAGAAUGUAUACUUUUAGAAAGCUGUCUCCUUAUUUAAAUAAAAUAGUGUUUGUCUGUAGUUCAGUGUUGGGGCAAUCUUGGGGGGGAUUCUUCUCUAAUCUUUCAGAAACUUUGUCUGCGAACACUCUUUAAUGGACCAGAUCAGGAUUUGAGCGGAAGAACGAAUGUAACUUUAAGAGGCAUUUCAUCCUUCAUGAAGCCAUUCAGGAUUUUGAAUUGCAUAUGAGUGCUUGGCUCUUCCUUCUGUUCUAACUUCACAGAGAAUGCAGUUGUCUUGACUUCAGAUGCAACCUUAAAAUCAGUGACAAGAAACAUUCCAAACAAGCAACAGUCUUCAAGAAAUUAAACUGGCAAGUGGAAAUGUUUAAACAGUUCAGUGAUCUUUAGUGCAUUGUUUAUGUGUGGGUUUCUCUCUCCCCUCCCUUGGUCUUAAUUCUUACAUGCAGGAACACUCAGCAGACACACGUAUGCGAAGGGCCAGAGAAGCCAGACCCAGUAAGAAAAAA
This 4401-nucleotide long non-coding RNA is filed under the name Homo sapiens (human). Lineage: Eukaryota; Metazoa; Chordata; Mammalia; Primates; Hominidae. The record is from RNAcentral.